Molecule: ribosomal RNA, 468 nt
Filed under: uncultured bacterium
Lineage: Bacteria
Description: partial 16S ribosomal RNA
Rfam family: Bacterial small subunit ribosomal RNA
Source: RNAcentral
GACGAACGCUGGCGGCGUGCUUAACACAUGCAAGUCGAACGGAAAGGCCCUGCUUUUGUGGGGUGCUCGAGUGGCGAACGGGUGAGUAACACGUGAGUAACCUGCCCUUGACUUUGGGAUAACUUCAGGAAACUGGGGCUAAUACCGGAUAGGAGCUCCUGCUGCAUGGUGGGGGUUGGAAAGUUUCGGCGGUUGGGGAUGGACUCGCGGCUUAUCAGCUUGUUGGUGGGGUAGUGGCUUACCAAGGCUUUGACGGGUAGCCGGCCUGAGAGGGUGACCGGCGACAAGGGGACUGAGAGACGGACCAGACGCCUACAGGAGGCAGCAGUGGGGAAUAUUGCACAAUGGGCGGAAGCCUGAUGCAGAAACGCCGCGUGCGGGAUGACGGCCUUCGGGUUGUGAACCGCUGUCGCCUGUGACGAAGCGUGAGUGACGGUAAUGGGUAAAGAAGCACCGGCUAACUACGUG